GACGAACGCUGGCGGCGUGCUUAACACAUGCAAGUCGAACGAUGAGACUCUUCGGAGUGGAUUAGUGGCGAACGGGUGAGUAACACGUGGGCAAUCUGCCCUGUACUUUGGGAUAAGCCUUGGAAACGGGGUCUAAUACCGGAUAUCACUUCUCUGGGCAUCCAGGGUUGUUGAAAGUUCUGGCGGUACAGGAUGAGCCCGCGGCCUAUCAGCUUGUUGGUGGGGUAAUGGCCACCAAGGCGACGACGGGUAGCCGGCCUGAGAGGGUGACCGGCCACACUGGGACUGAGACACGGCCCAGACUCCUACGGGAGGCAGCAGUGGGGAAUCUUGCGCAAUGGGCGAAAGCCUGGCGCAGCGACGCCGCGUGAGGGAUGACGGCCU
RNAcentral lists this ribosomal RNA (384 nucleotides) under uncultured bacterium. RNAcentral describes it as "bacterial SSU rRNA". It matches the Rfam family "Bacterial small subunit ribosomal RNA", at positions 28 to 417 of the family's 1533-position model. The record is from RNAcentral.